Molecule: ribosomal RNA, 510 nt
Filed under: uncultured bacterium
Lineage: Bacteria
Description: partial 16S ribosomal RNA
Rfam family: Bacterial small subunit ribosomal RNA
Source: RNAcentral
GACGAACGCUGGCGGCGUGCUUAACACAUGCAAGUCGAACGAAGAGCGAUGGAAGCUUGCUUCUAUCAAUCUUAGUGGCGAACGGGUGAGUAACGCGUAAUCAACCUGCCCUUCAGAGGGGGACAACAGUUGGAAACGACUGCUAAUACCGCAUACGAUCUAAUCUCGGCAUCGAGGAUAGAUGAAAGGUGGCCUCUACAUGUAAGCUAUCACUGAAGGAGGGGAUUGCGGCUGAUUAGCUAGGUGGAGGGGUAACGGCCCAACAAGGCGAUGAUCAGUAGCCGGUCUGAGAGGAUGAACGGCCACAUUGGGACUGAGACACGGCCCAGACUCCUACGGGAGGCAGCAGUGGGGAAUCUUCCGCAAUGGACGAAAGUCUGACGGAGCAACGCCGCGUGAGUGAUGACGGCCUUCGGGUUGUAAAGCUCUGUUAAUCGGGACGAAAGGCCUUCUUGCGAAUAGUGAGAAGGAUUGACGGUACCGGAAUAGAAAGCCACGGCUAACUACGUG